CCUGCCCUUCAGAGGGGGACAACAGUUGGAAACGACUGCUAAUACCGCAUACGAUCCAAUCUCGGCAUCGAGACUGGAUGAAAGGUGGCCUCUAUUUAUAAGCUAUCACUGAAGGAGGGGAUUACGUCUGAUUAGCUAGUUGGAGGGGUAACGGCCCACCAAGGCGAUGAUCAGUAGCCGGUCUGAGAGGAUGAACGGCCACAUUGGGACUGAGACACGGCCCAG
This 225-nucleotide ribosomal RNA is filed under the name uncultured bacterium. RNAcentral's name for it is "partial 16S ribosomal RNA". It matches the Rfam family "Bacterial small subunit ribosomal RNA", at positions 125 to 334 of the family's 1533-position model. The record is from RNAcentral.